RNAcentral lists this ribosomal RNA (494 nucleotides) under uncultured bacterium. RNAcentral's name for it is "partial 16S ribosomal RNA". It matches the Rfam family "Bacterial small subunit ribosomal RNA", at positions 28 to 507 of the family's 1533-position model. The record is from RNAcentral.
GACGAACGCUGGCGGCGUGCUUAACACAUGCAAGUCGAACGGUGAAGCGCCUUCCUUUUUGGUGGGUGUGGAUGAGUGGCGAACGGGUGAGUAACACGUGAGUAACCUGCCCCCUUCUUCUGGAUAACCGCAUGAAAGUGUGGCUAAUACGGGAUAUUCUGGGUCUGUCGCAUGAUGGGUCUGGGAAAGAUAUUGUUUCGGUGGGGGAUGGGCUCGCGGCCUAUCAGCUUGUUGGUGGGGUGAUGGCCUACCAAGGCGGUGACGGGUAGCCGGCCUGAGAGGGGGGCGGGCCACAGGGGGGAGGGAGCCGGCCCGGGACUCAUAGGGGGGCCAGAGGGGGGAAAUAUGGCACAGGGGGCGCAGGCGUGGGACGGCGCGCCCGGGGGGGGGAGGGGGCCCUGGGGGUUGUGACCUUUUUCGGACAGUGAAGCAGCCCUGCCUGUUUUGGGGGGGGUUGGAGGGGAGUGGAUAAAAAAGCGCGGGCUAACUACGUC